UACGUAGGGUGCAAGCGUUAAUCGGAAUUACUGGGCGUAAAGCGUGCGCAGGCGGUUUUGUAAGUCUGUCGUGAAAGCCCCGGGCUCAACCUGGGAAUUGCGAUGGAGACUGCAAGGCUUGAAUCUGGCAGAGGGGGGUAGAAUUCCACGUGUAGCAGUGAAAUGCGUAGAGAUGUGGAGGAACACCGAUGGCGAAGGCAGCCCCCUGGGUCAAGAUUGAC
This 221-nucleotide ribosomal RNA is filed under the name uncultured bacterium. RNAcentral's name for it is "partial 16S ribosomal RNA". It matches the Rfam family "Bacterial small subunit ribosomal RNA", at positions 524 to 744 of the family's 1533-position model. The record is from RNAcentral.